RNAcentral lists this long non-coding RNA (3157 nucleotides) under Homo sapiens (human). Its description in RNAcentral is "HSALNT0329237". Lineage: Eukaryota; Metazoa; Chordata; Mammalia; Primates; Hominidae. The record is from RNAcentral.
GUUCUUGGUGGGGCGGGUCCGCUUCCUCUUCACCAUUACAGGCUUCCGGCUUAUCGUGUGUCUGAUGCUGCUGAGCGUGGCGCGAGCAUUCUUGUUGAUGGUGGUCCGCACAUAGGAGGUGGCAGGCUUCCGCUGGCUGGAUCUCCGCUUCAUGACCACCACACCUCUGCUGUCGGCUGCAGGCUCCACGCCCACAGUCUUGCGGUGAAUCAGCCCUUUUUAGCGAAGGAGUUGCGGGCCUUCAAGUUAUUGGGCUCUGUGCUGUCUGUCUACUUCUUCCUCUUGAUCAGGAAACUGGAGCAGUUCCUCACGACCAUCCAUUGCAGAUGCGCAGACAUGGCGGCGGCUUCUCUCGCAGCGGCCUCAGGGGCAAUUUAAAAGGUCCGCGCUGCGUUUAUGAGCUGUAACACGCACCACCGAGAAGGUCUGCAGCUUCACUGCAGAAGCCAGUGAGACCACAAACCUACCGAAAGUAAGAAACUCUGGACACAUGUGAACAUCUGAGGGAACAAACUCCGGACACACCAUCUUUCAGAACUGUAACACUCACCGCGAGCGUCGGCGGCUUGGUUCUUGAAGUCAGCGAGACCAAGAACCCACCAAUUCCGAACACUCUUUAUGGAGGCUUGUGUUGAUGUGGAGGUGCAGUGAUGUGGAAGUGGCCUGAGAUGCUGAGCUCACAGGUAGAGGACCGCACCCCCAAGAAAUCUCAGCAGGCUAGUAAUAAACAAGAAGUACACCUUUGUUGUUUGAAGCCACUGGGGCUUUGCCGUAGUUUGCUAUUGUUGCAUAACCUAGACUAUUGUGAAUGAUACAUUUUCUUAAGUUUAAGUUUGGUGAUUAAUUUUAAAUUCUGGGAUCUGCUCUACUGUUUUUUUGGAAUUAUUUCAAUGACAUAAAUAUUUUCUGAGAUAUAUUACCUUGCAAUGAGAUGACCUUAGGGACUUGCACAAACUUAAAGUACAAAAUGAGAACUCAGUAUUGUGAAUUCAGCGGCCUUGGUCUGGCAAAAAGACUAGCAAGUAUUAAAAUGCAGAUUCUGGGCUGGGCACAGUGGCUCAUGCCUGUAAUCCCAGCACUUUGGGAGGCCGAGGCAGGUGGAUCACUUGAGGUCAGGAGUUUGAGACCAGCCUAGCCAACAUAGUGAAACCUCGUCUCUGCUAAAAAUACAAAAAUUAUCCGGGCAUGGUGGCGCGUGCCUAUAAUUCCAGCUACUCGGGAGGCAGAGACAGAAGAAUUGCUUGAACCCGGGAGGCAGAGGUUGCAGUGAGCUGAGAUUGCACCACUGCACUCCAGCCUGGGAGACAGAGUGAGACUCCUUCUCCAAAAAAAAAAAAAAAAAAAAAAAAAAAAAAAAUGCAGAUUCUGAGUUAAAAGUCUCCUCUGUUCCUUGUUGUGAAAACUGCUUGUUAAUUGAAAAACAGUGACAAGGUCCUAUAAGGUAUUUUACUUUAAAAUUAUAUACAAUAAAAAUGUUUGCUAAAUGAAGAAUCAUCAUAAAACCAAUUUGUUUUACAGCUAGGAGAGACUUUUGUGUUUAUCAAACCUGUUAUUUUUACUUUCUUUGGCAAGUGGUUGAUUCUUUUUCGGGGCAAAAAAAAUGUACACUAUGUACCAGGAACAACUUAUCAUAUCAAGAAAUCUAGGUAGUUACUAAAGACUACUGGUUAGGUCUAAAGGGCCUGGGGGCGUAACUAAAGAUGCUGUCCCUGUCCAAAUUAGGAUAAUGUUAGCAUCAAGUUUUCAAUCAAUAGCUUGAUCAUAUCAAAUAUACUUAAAAUCAGGAGUUCAUAACAGUAUAUAACAAAAAAGGCUGGACUCAGUGGCUCAUGCCUGUAAUCUCACAACUUUGGGAGCCUGAAGUGGAAGGGUCACCUGAGGCCAGGAGUCUCAUGUCAGACUGGGCAACAAAGCAAGACCCCAUCUCUAAAUUUAAAAAAAAAUAGAGAAAGAAAAAGAAAGUAACCUCAUUGCUCCAUUUUGAAGGAUGCUGAGGAAGCAACUCACUAUUUUGAAAAUUUGUAAAAAUGCAGGGAUAUAUCCUGUCUUUCCAAAAUGACUUGUACCUCAGGGCAAUCCAGUAGUUAGCAAAGGGGCACUUCUCUUUCUUUUUUCUUAAAGACAGGUCUCACUCUGUCACCCACAAUGGGAGUGCAGUGGCUCAAUCUUGUCUGCAACCUCUGCCCCCUGGGCUCAAGCAAUCCUCCCACCUCGGCCUCCCAAGUAGCUGCGACUACAGGCACGCGCCACCAUGUCCAGCUAAUUUUUAAUUUUUUUUUAGAGAAAGUGUUUUGCCAUGUUGCCUCAGCUGGUCUCAAACUCCUAAAUUCUCUCUCCUCAGCCUCUCAAAGUGCUGAGAGCGAUCCUCUCUCCUCAGCCUCUCAAAGCGCUGGGAUUACAGGCACAAGCCACUGCACCCGGCCCGGGACAUUUUUCUUUAUAAACACAUUUAGUUAAGAAGUGAAGAAGAAAUGAUAUAACUACAGCAUUACUGUUUUGCAACUCAUAAUACAAACAUAGGCCUAGGCAUUGAUGAUUAAUGACUGCUAAUUUUACAAAACAGAGAUAGCCAGAUACUAUGGCCUCCUAAUUCAAGUACAUACCAUCUAACAAGUGUUAUUGUAGAAAAAAAAAAAAAGAAAAAAUCCUGAAUCUGAUUGAACUCCAGAUCUAACUACUAACUUUCUUGAUUGCAUCAUAAGAAUUAGUGUUGCUGAGAGCUGUAUAAUUAAACUAGGGACAGAGGAGCAUGUUAAGCAACACUGUGAAUAUGCAAUUAACAAAAUCUAGAUCGUGGAAAUUCUACAGGUCUAAAGACUUACUUCGUUUAACAAAUAUCAGGAAAAUUUGAAUACUGUCUUGGAUAUUUGAUGAUAUUAAGGAACUGUUAAUUUAUCUAGGUAUGAUAAUGGAAUUGUGGUUAUAUUUAAAGAAAAUGGUACUGAUCUUUCAGAUAUACAUCAAAAUAUCUUGAGAUGAAAUAAUAUGAUAUCUGAGAUUCGCAUGAAAUAAUUCAGUGGGAAAUGGUACAGUGGUGGAUGAAAAGUAGCUGUGAAUAUAGAUAAAACAAAAUUUACUUGAGGUUUUAAUUGUUGAAGCUGGGUGAUGCAUAGAUAAUAAGUAGUUCAUUAUGCCAUUUUCUUUACUUUUGCAUAUA